Molecule: ribosomal RNA, 515 nt
Filed under: uncultured bacterium
Lineage: Bacteria
Description: bacterial SSU rRNA
Rfam family: Bacterial small subunit ribosomal RNA
Source: RNAcentral
GAUCAUGGCUCAGGAUGAACGCUAGCUACAGGCUUAACACAUGCAAGUCGAGGGGCAGCAGGACGAUAGCUUGCUAUGUUGCUGGCGACCGGCGCACGGGUGAGUAACGCGUAUCCAACCUUCCCCUUAGUAGGGCAUAGCCCGGUGAAAAUCGGAUUAAUACCCUAUGUUGUGUCAUGAGGACAUCUGAAUAACACUAAAGAUUUAUCGCUAAGGGAUGGGGAUGCGUCCGAUUAGGUAGUCGGCGGGGUAACGGCCCACCGAGCCCUCGAUCGGUAGGGGUUCUGAGAGGAAGGUCCCCCACACUGGUACCGAGACACGGACCAGACUCCUACGGGAGGCAGCAGUGAGGAAUAUUGGUCAAUGGGGCGUAAGCCUGAACCAGCCAAGUAAGCGUGCAGGAUGACGGCCCUAUGGGUUGUAAACUGCUUUUAUACGGGGAUAAAGUGAGGGACGUGUCCCUUAUUGUAGGUACCGUAUGAAUAAGGACCGGCUAAUUCCGUGCCAGCCGCCGC